RNAcentral lists this long non-coding RNA (5827 nucleotides) under Fragaria vesca (wild strawberry). RNAcentral's name for it is "long non-coding RNA (FVES_LNC005544)". Lineage: Eukaryota; Viridiplantae; Streptophyta; Magnoliopsida; Rosales; Rosaceae. The record is from RNAcentral.
CAGCAGCUUAUCUGGAUGAUAGAAUUUACUAGGUACACCCAAUAGCAACAAUUUCCAGAUACCAAUAAUAUAUCAAUUAUACUCUUCAAAAUAGCUAGUUUCCAACUUUGUCAUUCCUGGACAUAUAUUGCGGCAUGUUACCAUAGGAUCAAAACCAUAUCGUUCAUAACAAGUGAUCAACGCAUACUUACAAUAGUUCUAUAAUACUUUCACAUGAGUAUACCCAUGCUAAAUUCAAUUAAGUCCAAUAACACCUAUCCAAAGUGAUCACCCACUCACCUUGUAAUUUCUUUACUGUAAACUUUUUCCUUUUGAUGCGUUGUUGGAUCAAAGCAACUGGACAUCAUAUGCUCUGUUUUCAUUGAAUAGAAAUACAAACCAUCAAUACCAUACUCCAAAUUCAAAUACUGAACACAUACCAUUCGCUUUCAUAAGGGACCUUACCUUCUUCUGUACCUUCUCUGAAAUACAUAUAUAUAUAUAUAUAUAUAUAUAUAUCAUUAUCCUGUUAGAAAGAUGAUCUUCUGUAUCAUCUAUAUUAGGAAUGUUAUUAGGUGUGAAUAUCUUUUCCUAUUAUAUUUCUUGAUUGUAUAGGUAUUGUAAAGAUAGUUUCCUUGUAGGAUUCCAUUACUACUUGUGUAUGUAAUCGUGAUUGAGAAUCAAUGAAACAUUCUGGCCAAACUAUCAUCUUUUCAUGGUAUCAGAGCAGGAUUAGAUCCUGACUCUGCAGCUGUUGCAUUUUAUCUCUCGUGCAACGAUUUUUCUUCUCAAUCUGUUGUACUCUAUAUCUCGUACAACAAUUCUCUUGUCUUCAUGGCCAAUAAAGAUUUCAAAUCAUUCUUCAUUGAUCAUCCUGAUCAUCCAUCCUUGUUGAUAGUGUUCAACCAAUAUAAUCAAUCAAAUCAACCUAUCCGGCAAAAAAGUUUCUCCGUUCGCAUUCCUUUCCCCAAGCAACUACGUCAACAUGCUUUGGCUAUUUUGAAUCACAAAGGACCCGAUAGUUCAAGAGUCAAUGUUGCUGUAACAGAACCAGUUUUAUCUAAGGUCACUUCCCGCAACUGGAUUAUCGAUAGCGGCGCGACAGAUCAUAUCUCUUCAUCUCAAGGCUCACUAUUACACAAAGACAAAUAUCGUUCAUUGCCUUCCGUAUUGUUGCCUAGUGGAGAAAAGGCUAAUAUUGUUGCCAAGGGUUCUUUGCCUCUGACUUCUGAGUACUAUUUGCAUGAUGUGUUGUGUGUGCCUACAUUCAAAGUUGAUCUAAUGUCUGUCAGUCGAUUAACGAGUGAAUUGUUCUGUGACAUUUUUCCCUUAUUGGUGUAUUUUGCAGGAUCUGGUUUCAAAGAAGACGAUUGGUCUGGGGAAGCAACGUGACGGUCUCUAUUAUUUAGUGGCGUUAGCGACGGAGAAAAACAAGCCCAAACCACAUAAGUCAUCAUCAAUUCAACCUGCUUGUCAUUCCACAGUAUCUUUUUCCAACCUUUGGCAUCGUCGAUUGGGUCAUGUUUCGUCUGCUCCUCUAGAUUAUAUUGCUAAGCACUUUUUGGAUAUUUCUAUUCCUUCUGGUUCAAAUCAUGUUUGCGAUAUUUGUCCGUUGGCAAAACAAAGUCGUCUCUCUUUUGGUACCAGUUCUAUCUCAUCUGUUAAACCUUUUGAUCUUAUUCAUUGUGACAUUUGGGGUCCCUACAAACAUCCUUCUCUUUCUGGUGCACGUUAUUUUCUUACAAUAGUGGAUGAUUAUUCUCGUUUUACUUGGGUGUUUUUGAUGCAACAUAGAUGGGAAACUCCGUCUUUGAUUAAACAAUUUUUGGCUUAUGCAUCUACCCAGUUCUCAUCUCAAAUUAAAAGUUUUCGCAAUGACAAUGGGGCUGAAUUUAUUUCCCUUCGAAAUUUUUUCAAAGAAAAUGGAGUCAUUUUUCAGCAUUCUUGUGUUUAUACGCCUCAACAAAAUGGGGUAGUAGAACGCAAACAUCGUCAUAUUCUCCAAGUUGCUCGUGCUUUCAGGUUUCAAGCUAAAAUUCCGCUAAAAUUUUGGGGAGAAUCUGUUCUCAUUGCUGUUCAUGUCAUUAAUCAUUUCCCAACUCCACUUCUCUCUUUUCAAACACCUUUCGAGCGUCUUUAUUCCCGACCUCCUUCUUUUAAUCAUCUCCGUGUUUUUGGUUGUUUGGCAUAUGCUACAAAUGUCAAGGUCACACAUAAGUUUGCCCCAAGAGCAAUCAAAUGCAUCUUCAUUGGUUAUCCUGUUGGUCAAAAAGCCUAUAAACUUUACGAUCUCUCAAAUCAUAAAGUUUUUACUAGUCGUGAUGUUGUAUUUCAUGAAGAUCUCUUUCCAUAUGUCUCUAAUGAACUCACGCCCAAUUCUAACUCUCAUGAGUCUGUCCACUGUCGCCCAUUAGCCCAUAUAACAGACCCAACCAGCCCAUUCUCAUAUCCACAUACUCACCCUAAUUUCAGUCAACCGGGUCACUUAGCCAAUCAUGACCCUCAAUCUGCCUUGCGUCGUCCUGUCUCUCUGACGUCGUCACCAUCUCUUCCGGCGACGUCUCUUCUUGUAACUUCCCUUCCAGCACCUUUGACUUCAUCUUUCCCAGCGUCGUCGUCUCCUUCUCUUCCGGUGCAGUCACCUCGCGUCGUCGUCUCCCUCUCUCCCGGCGCCUCCAUACCCCGGUCACAUCAACCAUCCCCUCUUCCCGCCGACGGUGCUGCACUUUCCAAUUCCGGCGCUGUCGCCGCUCAACCUCCUUCACACCAAACUCUCGGCUUUGACCAGCCAUCAACAAUCGACCUAGUCGCACCACUUCCAGCAGAACCCAGCCUUCCGACAACCUCCAAUCUUCCUCCGGUCGGCUCCGAUCAUUCAAUCACCUCUCCGGCCGAUCUCAGUUCCAAUCCAACUCCAAUCGUACCCACAGUCGCACCUACAUCAUCUCCAGCUAUUGACGAAGUCGCACCUUUUUUGUCGGAAUCCAAUCCUUCUCUUUGUCGCUCUAGCCGCACUGUUGUCCUGCCAAUUAAACUUCGGGACUAUGUUUGUUCUCAAGUGACCACGCUGCCUUCCCCAAAUCGGGCGUCUCCUUUGCUUCCUGGUCCGACUAAAGGUACACGAUAUCCAUUGUGCAAUUUUGUUUCUUAUGAUUGAUAUACUCCUGCGUAUCGUUCUUUUAUUGCACAGAUCAGCCAUGCUUCUGAGCCUCGUUCCUAUGAUGAUGCUAUUCCCCAUCCAGAAUGGCAAGAAGCUAUGCGUUCGGAGCUUCAGGCUCUCCAUGAUAACGGUACAUGGUCCCUCAUGCCUCUUCCUCCAGGCAAGAAAACUAUCGGCUGUCGUUGGGUGUAUAAAAUCAAACACCGUUCUGACGGUUCUAUUGAGCGUUACAAAGCUCGUCUAGUUGCUAAAGGUUUCACAUAGAUGGAAGGUGUUGAUUACCAGGAUACUUUCUCUCCUACGGCUAAAAUCAUUACUGUUCGUUUCAUUGCUCUUGCUGCUGCACAACGUUGGUCUCUUUCUCAAUUGGAUGUGAAUAAUGCGUUCUUACAUGGUGACCUUCAUGAGGAGAUUUACAUGACACCUCCACCUGGUCUUCGGCGACAGGGAGAGGAACACUUGGUUUGUCGCCUUCACAAAUCUUUGUAUGGCCUUAAACAAGCAUCUCGCCAAUGGUUUGCAAAGUUUUCAGAAGCAAUCCAGUCAGCUGGUUAUGUUCAAUCCAAAGUAGACUAUUCUCUUUUCACAAGAAAGCAAGGCAAGUCAUUCACUGCUCAUGUUGAUGACAUUCUGAUCACCGGUAAUGAUUCUGCUAGUAUUGGUGCACUUAAGAAGUUCUUGCAUGGUCAUUUUCGUAUUAAAGAUCUUGGUGAAUUGAAAUAUUUUCUUAGCAUCGAAGUGUGUUCCUCUACGCAUGGCAUUUUUAUUUCACAAAGAAAAUAUGCUUUGGAAAUUAUCAAAGAUGCAGGAUUAUUAGGUGCUGCUCCAGUUGAUACUCCUAUGGAGCGUGAUUUGAAAUUAUCCGAUAAAAGUGAUUUGCUUAAGGAUCCAUCUCGAUACAGAAGGCUAGGUGGGAGAUUGAUUUAUCUUACAGUUUCAAGACCUGAUAUUACUUAUUCAGUUCAUGUAUUGAGCAGAUUUAUGCAUGAGCCACGCAAAUGUCAUAUGGAGAGCGCUCUUCGUGUUGUGAGAUAUCUUAAGAGUGCACCUGGUCAAGGUUUAUUUUUCUCUUCAAACAGUGACUUCAGAUUACGUGCAUUCUGUGAUUCUGAUUGGGCAGGUUGUCCAAUUACUAGAAGGUCUACUACUGGUUACUGUGUCUUUCUUGGCUCUUCUUUAAUAUCAUGGAGAUCAAAACGGCAGAAACCGUUUCUCUUUCUUCAGCAGAGGCAGAAUACAGAGCCAUGACAAGUGCUUGUUGUGAGUUAACAUGGUUGAGAUUUCUCUUUCGAGAUUUGGGUGUGAUGCACCCAAAACCAGCGUUGUUGUAUUGUGAUAAUAAGGCAACAUUGCAUAUUGCUGCUAAUCCAGUUUUUCAUGAGAGGACAAGGCACAUUGAGAUAGAUUGUCACUUCAUUAGAGAUAAAAUUCAGGAUGGUUCAGUUGUCACAAAAUUUGUCAAUUCCUCACACCAGCUUGCUGAUGUUCUUACUAAGGCUUUGGGAAAAGAAGAUUUUGUUCUUAUGAUUCACAAGUUGGGAGUUUGAGAUAUCCACUCUCCAACUUGAGGGGGAGUGUUAGAAAGAUGAUCUUCUGUAUCAUCUAUAUUAGGAAUGUUAUUAGGUGUGAAUAUCUUUUCCUAUUAUAUUUUUUGAUUGUAUAGGUAUUGUAAAGAUAGUUUCCUUGUAGGAUUCCAUUACUACUUGUGUAUGUAAUCGUGAUUGAGAAUCAAUGAAACAUUCUGGCCAAACUAUCAUCUUUUCAUAUCCAAGGUUCAAUCUCUAUCCUUGCUUUUAUAAUUAUACUGGAAAUCUUUCAUUCUGUUUCAUUCAAAUAAGAUCACCACUUAACACUACUACCAUAACCUCCUAACUGAACCCAAUUUCAAUUCGGUGAAAAGAACUUUACCUUUCAUUUCAGCUCCAUCGAUCACUUCUUUCUUUUCACAUUCAAUAACUCUCCAUGGACUUCAUGCUUCUUUCCUUGGAACUCAAAUUUUUGUCGUCACCGGCAUCCCAAUUAACAGAAUAAUCAGAACCCGAUCUAUCAAAAUCAGAAAUCCAAAAUCUAUGGGUUCUUGGGACUUUACCUCAAUACGCAAAGAAAAGGAGAAUAACGUUCAUGCCUGUGGCUUUCUACAACUCGAAUUGGUGUUGACGGUACAUGGCCGAACGACCCAAACUCCAUCUCUGUUGUAUCCUUGAACUGAAGAUUAACAUCCCACUAUGAAUAUUUAGCAGCUUUGCCUUCUUGAACAUGAACAGAGACAGAGAGAGAAAGAAAGAGAGUGAUCAAGAUCGAGAGUGUUCGUAAGAGAGGGAGAGAAAACGGGAGAAGCUUCUGGUCAUUCUAAUCAAAGCUUAUCAAUUUGUAACUCAUAUAUAUAGAAUUACAAUGUUGCCCUCCUUAGGCAUAAACAUGUGACCUAAUCAGGUUAUUCCAAGCCUACAUUAUAGGCCCAAUUCAAAAAUGAAACCUCUCGAACUCAACUAAAUCGAGCAAUAUCCGUCUAUUAUAUAAAUUGUUUACUAAAAUCAUUCGCGACUGAAUACAUAUAGCUAUAACUUUACGGGGUCUUACCGCUCCCGUAGAAGUUAUCAUUUUUACUGACCAUUAACUAAAAGGAUGGCAUGGUGUGGUUGGUGAGAUUGCUACAUUUGGUCCUACACUUCUAGCUAAGGCAGUAAG